Molecule: ribosomal RNA, 492 nt
Filed under: uncultured bacterium
Lineage: Bacteria
Description: partial 16S ribosomal RNA
Rfam family: Bacterial small subunit ribosomal RNA
Source: RNAcentral
AGUGAACGCUGGCGGUAGGCCUAACACAUGCAAGUCGAACGGCAGCACAGUAAGAGCUUGCUCUUACGGGUGGCGAGUGGCGGACGGGUGCGGAAUACAUCGGAAUCUACUUUUUCGUGGGGGAUAACGUAGGGAAACUUACGCUAAUACCGCAUACGACCUCCGGGUGAAAGCAGGGGAUCUUCGGACCUUGCGCGAUUGUAUGAGCCGAUGUCGGAUUAGCUCGUUGGCGGGGUAAAGGCCCACCAAGGCGACGAUCCGUAGCUGGUCUGAGAGGAUGAUUAGCCACACUGGAACUGAGACACGGUCCAGACUCCUACGGGAGGAAGCAGUGGGGAAUAUUGGACAAUGGGGGAAAGCCUGAUCCAGCCAUACCGCGUGAGUGAAGAAGGCCUUCGGGUUGUAAAACCCUUUUGUUGGGAAAGAAAAGCAGCAGGUUAAUACCCCGCUGUUCUGACGGUACCCAAAGAAUAAGCACCGGCUAACUUCGUG